GUCACUGAGAUACAAGCGCAAAACAUUCAAUAUGAAAUUUAUUCUGCUCCUUGCUAUGCUCAUGGCGGUCGCUUGUGCCGAUGAUCUAACGAAGAAGUUGCUGGAAAUACAAAGUUCUGUUAAUAUCAGUCCGGAACAGGCCCAUGGUUUUCUUGACUCAGUUGUUGGGUUCUUCAAAGAUAACGCUGGAACCAUCGGAGCUAUCGCCAAUGGUUUGAUUGGCAUUGCACUCGGCUAAGCGGUUCCAAACUGGACGAACAGAACUGUCUACGGCUUAUUUUUCAAGACUGUAAUAUGCAUUUCAAUGAAUAAAUUGUUUGAAAUUACAAA
Wyeomyia smithii (pitcher-plant mosquito) is the source of this 330-nucleotide long non-coding RNA. RefSeq lists it as uncharacterized. Lineage: Eukaryota; Metazoa; Arthropoda; Insecta; Diptera; Culicidae. The transcript has 2 exons. The record is from RefSeq and is a predicted model, not a curated record.